Molecule: ribosomal RNA, 497 nt
Filed under: uncultured bacterium
Lineage: Bacteria
Description: partial 16S ribosomal RNA
Rfam family: Bacterial small subunit ribosomal RNA
Source: RNAcentral
GAUGAACGCUGGCGGCGUGCCUAAUACAUGCAAGUCGAGCGAACGGACGAGAAGCUUGCUUCUCUGAUGUUAGCGGCGGACGGGUGAGUAACACGUGGAUAACCUACCUAUCAGACUGGGAUAACUUCGGGAAACCGGAGCUAAUACCGGAUAAUAUUUUGAACCGCAUGGUUCAAAAGUAAAAGACGGUCUUGCUGUCACUUAUAGAUGGAUCCGCGCUGCAUUAGCUAGUUGGUAAGGUAACGGCUUACCAAGGCAACGAGGCAUAGCCGACCGGAGGGAGGGAUAGGCCACACUGGAGCUGGGACACGGUCCAGGCUACUGCGGGAGGCAGCAGUAGGGAAUCGGACGCAAUGGGCGAAAGCCUGGCGGAGCAACGCCGCGUGAGUGAUGAAGGUCUUCGGAUCGUAAAACUCGGUUAUUAGGGAAGAACAUAUGUGUAAGUAACUGUGCACAGCUUGACGGUACCUAGUCAGAAAGCCACGGCUAACUACGUG